UGGGGAAUAUUGCACAAUGGGGGAGACCCUGAUGCAGCCAUGCCGCGUGUGUCAAGAAGGCCUUCGGGUUGUAAAGCACUUUCAGCAGUGAGGAAGGUCGUGUACUUAAUACGUGCACGGCUUGACGUUAGCUGCAGAAGAAGCACCGGCUACCUCCGUGCCAGCAGCCGCGGUAAUACGGAGGGUGCGAGCGUUAAUCGGAAUUACUGGGCGUACAGCGCAUGCAGGCGGUUUGUUAAGUCAGAUGUGAAAGCCCGGGGCUCAACCUCGGAAC
This 274-nucleotide ribosomal RNA is filed under the name uncultured Salinivibrio sp. RNAcentral's name for it is "partial 16S ribosomal RNA". It matches the Rfam family "Bacterial small subunit ribosomal RNA", at positions 355 to 621 of the family's 1533-position model. Lineage: Bacteria; Pseudomonadati; Pseudomonadota; Gammaproteobacteria; Vibrionales; Vibrionaceae. The record is from RNAcentral.